This 63-nucleotide transfer RNA is filed under the name Rattus norvegicus (Norway rat). It matches the Rfam family "tRNA", at positions 1 to 62 of the family's 71-position model. Rfam says of the family: Transfer RNA (tRNA) molecules are approximately 80 nucleotides in length. Their secondary structure includes four short double-helical elements and three loops (D, anti-codon, and T loops). Further hydrogen bonds mediate the characteristic L-shaped molecular structure. tRNAs have two regions of fundamental functional importance: the anti-codon, which is responsible for specific mRNA codon recognition, and the 3' end, to which the tRNAs corresponding amino acid is attached (by aminoacyl-tRNA synthetases). tRNAs cope with the degeneracy of the genetic code in two manners: having more than one tRNA (with a specific anti-codon) for a particular amino acid; and 'wobble' base-pairing, i.e. permitting non-standard base-pairing at the 3rd anti-codon position. Lineage: Eukaryota; Metazoa; Chordata; Mammalia; Rodentia; Muridae. The record is from Rfam by way of RNAcentral.
GGGGAUUUAGCUCAGUGGUAGAGCACUUGCCUAGCAAGCGCAAGGCCCUGGGUUCAAUCCCCA